Molecule: long non-coding RNA, 622 nt
Filed under: Ricinus communis (castor bean)
Lineage: Eukaryota; Viridiplantae; Streptophyta; Magnoliopsida; Malpighiales; Euphorbiaceae
Description: long non-coding RNA (RCOM_LNC000152)
Source: RNAcentral
AGGCUAUCCCAAAAAGGAUAAGGAAAUACAUGAUAAAUUAGCAAUAGAUUCUUGGCAGACAACACGGAAAAACACGAACUAGAAAAUUUAAUAAAUUGAAGUAUAUGAACUGCAAGACCUCAUCAGUUUGUCUAAGAAAUAGCAUGCAGAAGUGGGCUAAAUAGAAAAUAAGCAGAGGUGAAACAAAGACAAAGAAUGAUUAAAUGGUUUUCCAAUUGCACACACAAGCAAGAAAAGAAGUUACAUUUAUGUGUGAAUGUGCACAGGCAUGCAUUAAUACAAGUUACUUUUUUUGGAACUUUUUGGCAGGUAAUCCACAUUUCUACAUGGGAAUGUGCUAAAUGUAGUUACUUUUUUUUGAACUUUUCUGCAGGUAAUCCACAUUUCUACAUGGGAAUGUGCUAAAUGUUCCUGGUCAGAACUGCAUUUUUUCUUACUUUGGACAAAUGGCAUCAAAAUCAUUGUUAAGGAACACACCUACUCGGACAAAUGAGAUCAAAAUAAUUAUAAUGGACAAUACCAAAUUAAUUUUACAAGUCAAAGCUUUUAUGCCAUUGUGAAAUUUUGUGUGGAAUCCAUUCAUUAUCAAUUAUUCUUCAGAUCCAUGUUGCUUACACAAACC